Molecule: non-coding RNA, 284 nt
Organism: Pelobates cultripes (western spadefoot toad)
Lineage: Eukaryota; Metazoa; Chordata; Amphibia; Anura; Pelobatidae
Source: the annotation of a GenBank genome assembly
GGGGUGACUAGUGACAGAGUGAGGGAAGGGGUGACUAGUGGCAGAGUGAGGAAAGGAAGGGGUGACUAGUGACAGAGUGAGGGAGGUGGUGACUGUCACUAGUCACCACCUCCCUCACUCUGUCACUACUCCCUCCCUCUUUCUGUCACUAGUCACCCCCUCCGUCCCUUACUCUGUCACUAGUCACCCCUUAACUCACUAUGUCACCAGUCAUCCGCUCACUCUGUCACCAGUCAUCCCUUCCUUCCCUCACUCUGCCACCAGUCAUUCCCUCACUCUAGUGA